Sesamum indicum (sesame) is the source of this 707-nucleotide long non-coding RNA. RefSeq lists it as uncharacterized. Lineage: Eukaryota; Viridiplantae; Streptophyta; Magnoliopsida; Lamiales; Pedaliaceae. The record is from RefSeq and is a predicted model, not a curated record.
CUCCUCCCCCUCUCCCCCCCCACAAGGAGAGAAUUGCAAACUCUCUACAAGAAGAAAAAGAUCCCUGCCAAUAUCACAAAUGUCGCCGUGGCCGCGCUCUAAAAACUCUUCACAUUGUUGAAGAGAUUGAGGAAUUUUUGCAGUCAUGGGCUCAAUCAUGUCAAUCUGAAACUGCAGAAUCAUCUAUUGAGUCGCCGGUGACGUCGGAGGUAACAUCUCCAUUUGUGUAUUUUUGGAUGUGAUUCGGGCAAAUGCGGCUCGACUCGUCCGCCUAAGGCACCCUGGAGUGGUUCGCGUGGUCCAGGCGCUAUAGAGCUGACGAGCUCGAGCUCGAGCUCGGGGUCAAUUUCUCGAGCUCGAGCUCGAGUUCGAGCUUGGGAAUGCAGUGUCGAGCUCGAGCUCGAGCUCAACCUGGGCGAGCUCGGCGAGCUCGAGCUCGAGCUCGAGCUUGAAGUUGCAGAGUCGAGCUCGAGCUCGAGCUCAACAAAAAUGGCCGAGCUCGACUCGAGCUCGACUCGUUGCCACCCCUAGUUGUAAUUCAUCAUGGACCAAGCGUACCAUUUGCUCUUCUUGUAUCACAAGGGUUUACUCCCCUCGUUCCAAUGGUGGUGUUUCUUCUAUAGGUCUUCAGCUACCUCGCGUCCUUGGAACUAAUCCGGGUUGCAGGUCAUCAACUACUUCACUUCCUUGGAAUGGUUUUGGGACAU